RNAcentral lists this ribosomal RNA (1206 nucleotides) under Dasiops inedulis. RNAcentral describes it as "partial 16S ribosomal RNA". The record is from RNAcentral. Lineage: Eukaryota; Metazoa; Arthropoda; Insecta; Diptera; Lonchaeidae.
UCAAUAUAAAUUGAUUAAUAAUUAUUUAUUAAUUUUGUUGUUUUUUUAUUUAAAUUAUUAAAAAUAUUUAUUUAGUUGAUAGUUUUAGUAUUUUAUGAAGAAAAAAUAAUUAUAAUUAUAGUUUAUUAGUAUUGUAAAAUAAAAUUGAAAUAUUUUGAAAAAUAUUUAAUUUAAAAGAAAAUUUGAUUUAUUGUACCUUGUGUAUCAGGGUUUAUUAAAUAAAAAAUAUUUAAUUUAUUUUUCUCGAUUUUAAAAGAGUUAAUAAGUUAUAAAAGUUAAUGUGGUAAAAUUAUUUUUAAUAACUUAUUAGAAAUGAAAUGUUAUUCGUUUUUAAAGGUAUCUAGUUUUUUUAGAAAUAAAUUUAAUUUAUAAAUUUUAGUUUAUUUAAUUAAUUAAUUAAUUAAAUUAUAUUAAAAUUUAAAUAUUUUAUGGGAUAAGCUAUAAAAUAAAUUUUUAUAAAUAAUAAAUAAUGUAAUUAAAAUGUAUAUUUAAAAUUAGUAAUCAUUUUUAAGUUUAUUAUAAAUUAUUAUUGAUAAUAAAUUAUUUAUUAAAUUUUAAUUUUUUAUAAAAAUAUUUAUUUUAAUUUUAAAAAUAAAGUAAUAAUGAUAAAAUUAGUAUAUUAUUUUUGUAUAAGUAUAUAUUUAUUGAUAAGUUUUUAAAAAGAAUUCGGCAAAAUUGUAUAUUCGCCUGUUUAACAAAAACAUGUCUUUUAGAAUUUAAUUUAAAGUCUAACCUGCCCACUGAGGAUUUAAAUGGCCGCAGUAUUUUAACUGUGCAAAGGUAGCAUAAUCAUUAGUCUUUUAAUUGAAGGCUGGUAUGAAUGGUUGGACGAAAUAUAAACUGUUUCUUAAAAAAUUGUUAUAGAAUUUUAUUUUUUAGUAAAAAAGCUGAAAUUUUAUUAAAAGACGAGAAGACCCUAUAAAUCUUUAUAUUUUAUUAUUUUUUAAUUAUUUAGAUGAAUUUCAUUAUUAAGUAAUAAAAUAUUUUGUUGGGGUGAUGGUAAAAUUUAUAAAACUUUUAUUUUAUUAAAGUCAUUAAUUUAUGAAUUAUUGAUCCAUUAAUAGUGAUUAAAAAUUUAAGAUACUUUAGGGAUAACAGCGUAAUUUUUUUAGAGAGUUCAUAUCGAUAAAAAAGAUUGCGACCUCGAUGUUGGAUUAAGAGAUAAUUUUAGGUGUAGCCGCUUAAAUUUUAAGUCUGUUCGACUUU